CCUUUGAUGAAUUGUUUUCAUAUAGUGGUGGCUAAUGCAACUUCUGCAAUGAUCAUUUUACAAAAAAAGAAAAAAAACUAAAAUAUUAAUUCUACCACCUUGUUGUAUAAGAUAUUUAAUAUUCUAAAAGUUGAAGACAAAUUCAUUCUGAGCACUUCAUAAAAAAAUAUUUAAUCUUGGAACUAUUAGAAUCAUAAAUAUACAUUUGACAAGCUAUAAAAGACACAUGGAAUUAUUGGUG
RNAcentral lists this long non-coding RNA (241 nucleotides) under Elaeis guineensis (African oil palm). RNAcentral describes it as "long non-coding RNA (EGUI_LNC027685)". The record is from RNAcentral. Lineage: Eukaryota; Viridiplantae; Streptophyta; Magnoliopsida; Arecales; Arecaceae.